AUCUUGACCGUCAAAUUCCUCGAGCAUCUCAGUGCUGGGAUUUCGGUAGAUAAAGUUGACCCUUUGAAGAUCAAAUAUUACCGACUGAAGCUUGCAAUUGAGGGUUUAAGGGGGGAGGCAUAUUUAUGAGGAACUCCUUUAUAUGAAGAUGCAGACGUAGAUGCUUUGCUGGGGGUACUUUAGAUGGUCAUCCUGCCUUUUUGCUACAGCUAGUUGGUUUAGUUAUUAUUGUCAAGUGUAAUAUUGUACAGUGUAGAAGCAGUGGCUAAUUGCCUUACAUGGCACACACACUGUUUCGAUUUUGAAGGUUAACUCUUUUGUACACCUCCAUAUAUAAACAUAGUUGCUCUUUGUGGAUGCUUUAGUAGCCAUUGUUCACAUUUUGUCUCUGUGGUUUUGGGAAUCUGUUACUGGACUUACUGAAGCAUACAACUUUGUUAACAUUUCUCCAUUUAGUUUUGACUU
Prunus dulcis (almond) is the source of this 465-nucleotide long non-coding RNA. RefSeq lists it as uncharacterized. Lineage: Eukaryota; Viridiplantae; Streptophyta; Magnoliopsida; Rosales; Rosaceae. The record is from RefSeq and is a predicted model, not a curated record. The transcript is spliced from 2 exons.